AUCCAGCUGACGGGUCCAAAAUAAGACAAGACGCGUGUCCUGGAU
This is a non-coding RNA of Schistosoma mattheei, 45 nucleotides long. Lineage: Eukaryota; Metazoa; Platyhelminthes; Trematoda; Strigeidida; Schistosomatidae. The record is from Rfam.